Molecule: transfer RNA, 76 nt
Filed under: bioreactor metagenome
Description: tRNA-Ala
Rfam family: tRNA
About the family: Transfer RNA (tRNA) molecules are approximately 80 nucleotides in length. Their secondary structure includes four short double-helical elements and three loops (D, anti-codon, and T loops). Further hydrogen bonds mediate the characteristic L-shaped molecular structure. tRNAs have two regions of fundamental functional importance: the anti-codon, which is responsible for specific mRNA codon recognition, and the 3' end, to which the tRNAs corresponding amino acid is attached (by aminoacyl-tRNA synthetases). tRNAs cope with the degeneracy of the genetic code in two manners: having more than one tRNA (with a specific anti-codon) for a particular amino acid; and 'wobble' base-pairing, i.e. permitting non-standard base-pairing at the 3rd anti-codon position.
Source: RNAcentral
GGGGGUGUAGCUCACCUGGGAGAGCGCUUGAAUGGCAUUCAAGAGGUAGUGAGUUCGAAUCUCAUCGUCUCCACCA